AAACUUGGGUGUCAGCGUAGGAUCUUUGACCCAUUGUUCUAACAUAUAGGAUACUGCGGAUUGAUCUACAGACCUGGUACCGGGUUCAUAGUACAGUUUCUCAACUUGUUGCAUCCAAUCUCUGGCUGAGACAAUUCUUUCGACAGAGGGGAAUGGAAGCUGACCGCCUCCAUUGAUACAACCACCUGGACAUGCCAUGACUUCUACAUAGUCAUAACGUGAAGGCUCUUCUGUAGGAUUUUGAGCAUUGCUUCUUACUCGUUUUUUUAAUAAAACCCGGCCUUUUCGAACCGAGGAAUUUCCAUGUACGCGGCGUACCAAAUUUUGAAUGUUUCGGAAUCCAUAGCACGUUGCCAUAGAUAUUAACUGUUCAUUCGUUUCGGGGUGUCGUAAAGUAUACUCAGUCAAAUCGCCAUU
Schizosaccharomyces pombe (fission yeast) is the source of this 417-nucleotide non-coding RNA. The record is from the annotation of a GenBank genome assembly. NCBI's taxonomy places the organism in Eukaryota, Fungi, Ascomycota, Schizosaccharomycetes, Schizosaccharomycetales, Schizosaccharomycetaceae.